CCUACGGGUGGCAGCAGUGAGGAAUAUUGGUCAAUGGACGCAAGUCUGAACCAGCCAUGCCGCGUGCAGGAUGACGGCUCUAUGAGUUGUAAACUGCUUUUGUACGAGGGUAAACCCCGAUACGUGUAUCUGUUUGAAAGUAUCGUACGAAUAAGGAUCGGCUAACUCCGUGCCAGCAGCCGCGGUAAUACGGAGGAUCCGGGCGUUAUCCGGAUUUAUUGGGUUUAAAGGGUGCGUAGGCGGUCGGAUAAGUUAGAGGUGAAAUCCCGGGGCUCAACCUCGGAACUGCCUCUGAUACUGUUGGGCUAGAGAGUAGUUGCGGUAGGCGGAAUGUAUGGUGUAGCGGUGAAAUGCUUAGAGAUCAUACAGAACACCGAUUGCGAAGGCAGCUUACCAAGCUACUUCUGACGUUGAGGCACGAAAGCGUGGGUAGCAAACAGGAUUAGAUACCCGAGUAGUC
This 460-nucleotide ribosomal RNA is filed under the name uncultured bacterium. RNAcentral's name for it is "partial 16S ribosomal RNA". It matches the Rfam family "Bacterial small subunit ribosomal RNA", at positions 338 to 795 of the family's 1533-position model. The record is from RNAcentral.